This 460-nucleotide ribosomal RNA is filed under the name uncultured bacterium. RNAcentral's name for it is "partial 16S ribosomal RNA". It matches the Rfam family "Bacterial small subunit ribosomal RNA", at positions 338 to 795 of the family's 1533-position model. The record is from RNAcentral.
CCUACGGGUGGCAGCAGUGAGGAAUAUUGGUCAAUGGGCGAGAGCCUGAACCAGCCAAGCCGCGUGAAGGUCAGUGCACUAUGGGCGUUAAACUUCUUUUGUGCGGAAGCAAUAAUGGUCACGUGUGGCCAGACGAGAGUACCGUACGAAUAAGCAUCGGCUAACUCCGUGCCAGCAGCCGCGGUAAUACGGGGGAUGCAAGCGUUAUCCGGAUUUAUUGGGUUUAAAGGGUGCGUAGGCUGUGAGGUAAGUCAGCGGUGAAAUGCCCCCGCUCAACGGGGUGAAGUGCCAUUGAUACUGCCUGGCUGGAAUGCGGAUGCCGUGGGAGGAAUGUGUGGUGUAGCGGUGAAAUGCAUAGAUAUCACACAGAACACCGAUUGCGAAGGCAUCUCACGAAGCCGCGAUUGACGCUGAUGCACGAAAGCGUGGGUAUCAAACAGGAUUAGAUACCCGAGUAGUC